UACAGAGGUCUCGAGCGUUAGGCGGAAUCACUGGGCUUAAAGCGUGUGUAGGCGGAUUGGUAAGUACUUUGUGAAAUCCCACGGCUUAACCGUGGAACUGCUUGGUAUACUGCCAGUCUUGAGUCAGCUAGGGGCUACCGGAACAAAUGGUGGAGCGGUGAAAUGCGUAGAUAUCAUUUGGAACGCCAAUGGUGAAAACAGGUAGCUGGGGCUGUGCUGACGCUGAGACACGAAAGCCAGGGGAGCAAACGGG
This 253-nucleotide ribosomal RNA is filed under the name uncultured bacterium. RNAcentral describes it as "partial 16S ribosomal RNA". It matches the Rfam family "Bacterial small subunit ribosomal RNA", at positions 524 to 776 of the family's 1533-position model. The record is from RNAcentral.